RNAcentral lists this long non-coding RNA (1912 nucleotides) under Podarcis lilfordi (Lilford's wall lizard). The record is from RNAcentral. Lineage: Eukaryota; Metazoa; Chordata; Lepidosauria; Squamata; Lacertidae.
AACACUGUACAUUAUAAAGCCACAUUUCUCAAAUUAGCCGGAGGGAAGUCUAAGCAUAGGGACAGACAAGGAUGGCUAUUACAUGUAGCUGAAUUUAUACAUGGCUCUACAGUGAAGAUCAUGGCCACUGGGCCCAUCACCUUCUGGCAAAUAGAAGGGGAAGAAAUGGAGGCAGUGAGAGAUUUUACUUUCUUGGGCUCCAUGAUUACUGCAGAUGUUGACAGCAGUCACGAAAUUAAAAGACGCCUCCUUCUUGGGAGAAAAGCAAUGACAAACCUAGACAGCAUCUUAAAAAGCAGAGACAUCACCUUGCCAACAAAGGUCCGUAUAGUUAAAGCUGUGGUUUUCCCAGUAGUGAUGUAUGGAAGUGAGAGCUGGACCAUAAAGAAGGCUGAUCGAAGAAUUGAUGCUUUUGAAUUAUGGUGCUGGAGGAGACUCUUGAGAGUCCCAUGGACUGCAAGAAGAUCAAACCUAUCCAUUCUGAAGGAAAUCAGCCCUGAGUGCUCACUGGAAGGACAGAUCCUGAAGCUGAGGCUCCAAUACUUUGGCCACCUCAUGAGAACAGAAGACUCCCUGGAAAAGACCCUGAUGUUGGGAAAGAUGGAGGGCACAAGGAGAAGGAGACGAUAGAGGACGCAAUGGUUGGAUAGUGUUCUCGAAGCUACCAGCAUGAAUUUGACCAAACUACGGGAGGCAGUGGAAGACAGGAGUGCCUGGCGUGCUCUGGUCCAUAGGGUCACGAAGAGUCGGACACGAUUAAAUGACUAAACAACAGCAUACAAGGGAUACCUACUAUGUCUACUCAGUCCUGCUGUCUAGACUCUAUACUGAAUUAUAUGUUCACAGCCCAAGGGCCUGACUGAGUGAGCAAGCUGCUCUAAUGUCCCCAGUGGUGCUUUGCAGACAAAGCUAAAUUUCUAGACCGCUAUUGGGCUAGCUGCAGUGAUGUCACAGAGGAGCCUGGACCUGGGAAUUGAAAUACGAGGAUAAACUGAGAGGGAAUGUCUUGGCAUUGGAAUUUCAAGUCCACGGGCUAAUUUUAGUGCCAAUAAACCCUUUCACCUUUGCCUGUAUGAUGUAGGCUUCCAGAGGACACCUCAGUGGUGCAAAUCAACUGAAGGGAGUAUACGGUGCCCAGAAUGUGACCUCAUAAUGCAUUCUGCCAGACAAAUUCCAGUAAUGUAUAUAGGAGUGACAGAGGUUCCUCAAAUGCUCUGAGAGGGGCCAGGGCAGGCUAUGAAGCUUUCAAAGUGGGCAUCGCCUCUCCAUUUCACAGCUUCUCAUUCCUUCCCCUCCCCACUAAUCCCAGAAGUGCUUACAUUGGAUGCCCCGGGAUAGCCCCCCUUGUGAACCUGGCUAGGUUGCUUGAAUCCUGGGGGUGGGGAGAUAGGGGGGCCAGUAAUGAAAUCCACACGUUCUUCCCCAAUUCCUCCUUACUUUUUAUCAAAUCACCCACCCACCCCCUGAACCCUCCUUAAAGUAGCUAAGGGACAGAAGCUUACAAAGAACGGCAUACAAACCCCGUCUCUCCCAUCAUGAAAGGAAUCGGAAGGAAUAUUGUUUGUUGUGAACUGUUUCCGAAAUCUUUUCUUGACAGAACAUACAUGAGUUGAGUGGAAGAAGACUCAUGGCGGCAUGAGACACCCACCGCAGGUAGCUUAUUUUGGAUGUCAUGGAUUAUCGGCAAAUGACUGGUUAUUUAAGUUAUUGUUAUUUUAAUUUUCUUUCCAGGGUCAGGGGAGAGAGUUGCUUGUGGGGUUUUCUGCCUCAAAUUCCAAAAUACCUUUAUCAACUUUCGGUACUAUGCGUCUUGAUUUGGUGUGUUCUUUUGCCAUUUACUCAUCUGUAGCCCUCGGGGAGAAAAUGUCUUGCACAGGCCCUAACCAUAACCAAAUUUACAUGUGUGUGUGUG